GACGAACGCUGGCGGCGUGCUUAACACAUGCAAGUCGAGCGGUAAGGCCCUUUCGGGGGUACGACGAGCGGCGAACGGGUGAGUAACACGUGGGUGACCUGCCCUCAGCUCUGGGAUAAGCCUGGGAAACUGGGUCUAAUACUGGAUAUGACUCCACGGUGCAUGUCGUGGGGUGGAAAGCCUUGUGCGGCUGAGGAUGGGCCCGCGGCCUAUCAGCUUGUUGGUGGGGUGAGGCCUACCAAGGCGACGACGGGUAGCCGGCCUGAGAGGGCGACCGGCCACACUGGGACUGAGACACGGCCCAGACUCCUACGGGAGGCAGCAGUGGGGAAUCUUGCGCAAUGGGCGAAAGCCUGACGCAGCGACGCCGCGUGAGGGAUGAC
This 383-nucleotide ribosomal RNA is filed under the name uncultured bacterium. RNAcentral's name for it is "bacterial SSU rRNA". It matches the Rfam family "Bacterial small subunit ribosomal RNA", at positions 28 to 412 of the family's 1533-position model. The record is from RNAcentral.